UGUGUUUUAAAAAGUCUCUUUAGGUACUUACUUUUGUAUUUUCACUGAUUUGUCUCGUCAUUUUUGCUUAACAGACUACUACUAGGUGCAAAGCCCUAUAAAAAUUACAAUCCGGAAGUUUCGGAGGCAUGCCUAAGAGCAAUAAAAUUGAAAGAAAUAUUCCAACGCAAAGCUUUCAAACAAUACAAAAUUCCAAAACCAACCAUCAAGAAAAAACUUAAAGACCACCACGGACUGCCGUUAACACUUAAAAUGAAUACUAUGCCCUUUAAAAAAAAUUUAAAAAGUUGUCAAUUGAUGAUGCUAGAUGAAUCUAACAAUAUUGUACGCUGUAAAAUAAUGCAUGCAGAAAUAUCUAGAAUUGAGUCCUACUGAACUGGAAUCAUCACAUAUAACUGAAAUUAUAUCAAGAAAAAUAAUCUUAAAAGAAUGGAUAAU
Metopolophium dirhodum (rose-grain aphid) is the source of this 438-nucleotide long non-coding RNA. RefSeq lists it as uncharacterized. The record is from RefSeq and is a predicted model, not a curated record. Lineage: Eukaryota; Metazoa; Arthropoda; Insecta; Hemiptera; Aphididae. The transcript is spliced from 3 exons.